GGACGGGUGAGUAAUGUCUGGGAAACUGCCUGAUGGAGGGGGAUAACUACUGGAAACGGUGGCUAAUACCGCAUAACGUCGCAAGACCAAAGAGGGGGACCUUCGGGCCUCUUGCCAUCAGAUGUGCCCAGAUGGGAUUAGCUUGUUGGUGAGGUAACGGCUCACCAAGGCGACGAUCCCUAGCUGGUCUGAGAGGAUGACCAGCCACACUGGAACUGAGACACGGUCCAGACUCCUACGGGAGGCAGCAGUGGGGAAUAUUGCACAAUGGGCGCAAGCCUGAUGCAGCCAUGCCGCGUGUAUGAAGAAGGCCUUCGGGUUGUAAAGUACUUUCAGCGGGGAGGAAGGUGUUGUGGUUAAUAACCGCAGCAAUUGACGUUACCCGCAGAAGAAGCACCGGCUAACUCCGUGCCAGCAGCCGCGGUAAUACGGAGGGUGCAAGCGUUAAUCGGAAUUACUGGGCGUAAAGCGCACGCAGGCGGUCUGUCAAGUCGGAUGUGAAAUCCCCGGGCUCAACCUGGGAACUGCAUUCGAAACUGGCAGGCUUGAGUCUUGUAGAGGGGGGUAGAAUUCCAGGUGUAGCGGUGAAAUGCGUAGAGAUCUGGAGGAAUACCGGUGGCGAAGGCGGCCCCCUGGACAAAGACUGACGCUCAGGUGCGAAAGCGUGGGGAGCAAACAGGAUUAGAUACCCUGGUAGUCCACGCCGUAAACGAUGUCUACUUGGAGGUUGUGCCCUUGAGGCGUGGCUUCCGGAGCUAACGCGUUAAGUAGACCGCCUGGGGAGUACGGCCGCAAGGUUAAAACUCAAAUGAAUUGACGGGGGCCCGCACAAGCGGUGGAGCAUGUGGUUUAAUUCGAUGCAACGCGAAGAACCUUACCUGGUCUUGACAUCCACAGAAGAAUCCAGAGAUGGAUUUGUGCCUUCGGGAACUGUGAGACAGGUGCUGCAUGGCUGUCGUCAGCUCGUGUUGUGAAAUGUUGGGUUAAGUCCCGCAACGAGCGCAACCCUUAUCCUUUGUUGCCAGCGGUUAGGCCGGGAACUCAAAGGAGACUGCCAGUGAUAAACUGGAGGAAGGUGGGGAUGACGUCAAGUCAUCAUGGCCCUUACGACCAGGGCUACACACGUGCUACAAUGGCGCAUACAAAGAGAAGCGACCUCGCGAGAGCAAGCGGACCUCAUAAAGUGCGUCGUAGUCCGGAUUGGAGUCUGCAACUCGACUCCAUGAAGUCGGAAUCGCUAGUAAUCGUGGAUCAGAAUGCCACGGUGAAUACGUUCCCGGGCCUUGUACACACCGCCCGUCACACCAUGGGAGUGGGUUGCAAAAGAAGUAGGUAGCUUAACCUUCGGGAGGGCGCUUACCACUUUGUGAUUCAUGACUGGGGUGAAGUCGUAACAAGGUAACCGUAGGGGAACCUGCGGUUGGAUCACCUCCUUACCUUAAAGAA
This 1446-nucleotide ribosomal RNA is filed under the name Salmonella enterica subsp. enterica serovar Enteritidis. RNAcentral's name for it is "bacterial SSU rRNA". It matches the Rfam family "Bacterial small subunit ribosomal RNA". Lineage: Bacteria; Pseudomonadati; Pseudomonadota; Gammaproteobacteria; Enterobacterales; Enterobacteriaceae. The record is from RNAcentral.